GUGGAAACUUCUGGAUGCCUGCUCUUGUGAGUUCACCUCUAUGUCUACUCUACUGAGGCCUCUCCAUACAGGUCUCAGUUUCCUGCCUUCCUGGGAAGUGGGGAAAGGCUGAGAGGCCCCGUGCUGGGGGUGAAGCUAAUUCAUUAGUUACGCCUCAACAAGGACCGGGUGCCUGCAGUGCCAGCGUGAUUCAUCAUGAUGAUUGCCCCACUGCCAGCCUGCGUGGGCCUGGAACGCCAGCACAUUUUACCUUUACCCACUGAGAAGGGCCUGGUGGGAGGUGAAGGUACAGGAUCUGCCGAGAGCAAGAAAAAGACUCUGAGAAAGAAGAGGGCUGGUCCUCCAUGCUCUCGGCCCCAGGAAGCUCUGCCAGGCUGGUGCCGGGGUGGAGAGGCUCAUGUGGGCUCAUGUGGUGCUGCCUGUGCUGAUGGAGCCCAAGAGGGCAGCCUGGCGCUGGGUGCCAGCCUGAGCAUGUGGCGAGGCUGGGCUGCUGAGCCUCCUCCUCCACAGCCAAUGUUCCCUCAAACUGCUUGGGGGUGGGGGGAGGGACUCAUCCUCAUCCCAUUAGCCUGGCUGGGUAUUCCCUACCUUUCUGGUCUCUGAGAGACUUACCUCUUCCAAGAAGUCCUCCCGAAUGAGUAGAAGGGAGAGAGCUGGAUUGGAACUUAAGUGACAUCUGGGAGGAGCCUGAAGCCCCUCCGGUUGGGGCUGAGACUCCUAUACCCUAGGUCUGGUGUCUGGGUUCCACCUGGGUCCUCUACCUUGGCCUGGAUUCCUGCUUUCGUUUUGCCAGUCUCUCCCAGGAUGGGGGUGCAUGGCUGGUUCGUGGCUCAGAGCAACAUCUGCCUCUGUGUCCCCCCAUCAUCUGUCCGCCCCCUAACACCUCUUGCCAUAUUAGAAUUGCUAUUGCUCUGUCCUUUCAUUCAUGUAUCCAACAAAUAUAUAUUAUCUGAAAAAAAGC
Molecule: long non-coding RNA, 961 nt
Filed under: Homo sapiens (human)
Lineage: Eukaryota; Metazoa; Chordata; Mammalia; Primates; Hominidae
Description: non-protein coding lnc-LRRC10B-1:4
Source: RNAcentral